AUCAUGAGUUCACAUGUCCGCAUGAUUAAAGGUAUUUUCCGGUAGACGAUGGGGAUGCGUUCCAUUAGAUAGUAGGCGGGGUAACGGCCCACCUAGUCAACGAUGGAUAGGGGUUCUGAGAGGAAGGUCCCCCACAUUGGAACUGAGACACGGUCCAAACUCCUACGGGAGGCAGCAGUGAGGAAUAUUGGUCAAUGGGCGAUGGCCUGAACCAGCCAAGUAGCGUGAAGGAUGACUGCCCUAUGGGUUGUAAACUUCUUUUAUAAAGGAAUAAAGCCGGGUAUGCAUACCCGUUUGCAUGUACUUUAUGAAUAAGGAUCGGCUAACUCCGUGCCAGCAGCCGCGGUAAUACGGAGGAUCCGAGCGUUAUCCGGAUUUAUUGGGUUUAAAGGGAGCGUAGAUGGAUGUUUAAGUCAGUUGUGAAAGUUUGCGGCUCAACCGUAAAAUUGCAGUUGAUACUGGAUGUCUUGAGUGCAGUUGAGGCAGGCGGAAUUCGUGGUGUAGCGGUGAAAUGCUCAGAUAUCACGAAGAACUCCGAUUG
This 541-nucleotide ribosomal RNA is filed under the name uncultured Bacteroidota bacterium. RNAcentral describes it as "bacterial SSU rRNA". It matches the Rfam family "Bacterial small subunit ribosomal RNA", at positions 173 to 715 of the family's 1533-position model. The record is from RNAcentral. Lineage: Bacteria; Pseudomonadati; Bacteroidota.